RNAcentral lists this unclassified non-coding RNA (293 nucleotides) under Hevea brasiliensis (rubber tree). The record is from RNAcentral. Lineage: Eukaryota; Viridiplantae; Streptophyta; Magnoliopsida; Malpighiales; Euphorbiaceae.
CUCUCUCUAACCGUGUGGCUUCUUCGUCUACCCUCAUCUGCACGCUUAAUUUGACUUGACCCUCUCUCUCUCUCUCUCUCUAACAUUUUUUCUUCUUCAUCUGGUUUUUGCUACUAAUUUUCUGUUCCCAUUUACUUUCUCUCAAAAAUGGCUCCUCUUUCUCUUCUUUCUUUCUCCUUUUCCUUCCUCUUCUUCUCCUUCUUCUCCCCUUCUCUCUGCACCAAUUCUGAAGGGAAUGCUUUGCAUGCUUUGAGAAGCAGGUUCUCUGAUCCAACCAAUGUGUUGCAGAGCUG